Long non-coding RNA from Cyprinus carpio (common carp), 1589 nucleotides. Lineage: Eukaryota; Metazoa; Chordata; Actinopteri; Cypriniformes; Cyprinidae. The record is from Ensembl.
AUGCAGUGCCUUUCAAAAUUAGAAAAGGACCUGAGUAAGGACUUCACUAGAGUUGUUAUAAGAGGCAGAAAAGUACCAGUGCUUCUCACCAGAGAGAUGACAAGAUCACUUGACUUCCUGAUUGAGCACAGGACUCAAGAAAAUAACAUUUCUGAGACAAACAAAUAUGUCUUUGCAAGACAAAAUUCAGACUGCCACAUAAGAGGCUCAGACUGCUUAAGAAAAUUUGCAAAUGAAUGUAAUGCAAAACAUCCUGAGACCUUGACCUCUACCCAACUGAGAAAACACAUCGCAACCCUCUGUCAAAUAAUGAACUUGAAGGACCAUGAAAUGGAUCAGGUUGCAAAAUUUAUGGGACAUGACAUCCGUAUUCAUAGAGAAUACUAUCGCCUAACUGAGAACACGCUUCAACUUGCUAAAAUGAGCAAAUUGCUCAUGGCCAUUGAAUGUGGAACAACAGUUUAUAAAGGAAAAUCUCUAGACGAGAUUAACUUGGGAUUAGAAGUCGCUUUGUCUGAGAAACGUAAACAAGGCUGCACUUCAGACCAUGUUAUGAUGGAGACGUCUGAGCAAGAAGAAGAUGAGUUAUCCAGAAGUCAGAAGAAGAGGCCUGAUCCUGAGGAGUCUUGUGAUUCAGACGGCCCUGACACUUACAUAAAGACCAAAAUGAAGAGAUCCUCUAAGACUGACAGAAAUGGUUCUGCUGUGCAGAAGAUGGUUAAAAGAAGGCCCUGGAGUGAUGCCGAAAAAAAAAAACAGUUUGGCGGCAACUUGGAAGUUGUAUAACCUUUAUUGAGAGUCCCGUGGAAAGACAAAUGCAUCGAGUGCAUAGAUACAGAGCCAGCACUUCAGAGCAGACAUUGGAGAGACAUUAAAAAUCAUGUUCACAAUACCAUCCAAACCAGAAAGAAGAGGACGUCGCUGAAUUAACUUGCAUGUGUGAAGGCAAGUUGUUUUGACUUUUAUUCAUUCUCAGGAUAUGAAUUCUUGAUAUAUCAGCAAUUACAUUUCCACUAGUAAACACUAUAAUUCUUUAUUUCUGUAAUUGUAUUUUCACUAGUGAAAUCUCACCAUAGGCUGACAUUCAAAUUCAGUAUCAGUAUCAGAAAUACUGAUUGCUGAUUUCAGGAAUUACUUUGUUACUAGUGAAAAUGUAUUUUCUUGAUAUCUGCAAUUUAAUCGCUACUAGCAACAAUGUUCAUUUCUGAUUUCAUGAAUGUCAUUGUUUACUAGUAAGAAAUACAUUUUAUAUAUCAAAAAAUUACACUUCUAAUUAUUGAUAUCAGAAAUACAUUUUCAGAUAUCAGAAAUUAACAUUGUCACUAGUAGCAAUUAAAUUAAUUAAUUUUUCACUAGUAACAAAGUAAUUCCUGAAAUCAACAAUUAGUAUUUCUGAUAUCAAUAACUGAAUUUGAAUGUCAUCCUAUGGUGAGAUUUCACUAGUGAAAAUACAAUUACAGAAAUCAAGAAUUGAAGUCUUUACUUGUGGAAAUGUAAUUGUUGAUAUCAAAAAUUAGCAUUUUUAUUAGAGAAAAUUUAACUAUCAAUAGUUCAUAUCCUGAGAAUGAAUAAAAGUCAGAACAGCUUCA